AUUUUAAUAGCUUAUAUUAGAGCAUAAUAUUGAAGAUAUUAAGGAGAUUUUGGUCUUAAAAUA
Molecule: transfer RNA, 63 nt
Filed under: Pteroptyx valida
Lineage: Eukaryota; Metazoa; Arthropoda; Insecta; Coleoptera; Lampyridae
Also listed under: 1 other name
Description: tRNA-Phe
Source: RNAcentral